Long non-coding RNA from Tupaia belangeri chinensis (Chinese tree shrew), 697 nucleotides. RefSeq lists it as uncharacterized. Lineage: Eukaryota; Metazoa; Chordata; Mammalia; Scandentia; Tupaiidae. The transcript is spliced from 6 exons. The record is from RefSeq and is a predicted model, not a curated record.
GGCACCGACAAUGAAGCAAACCCUGGCUCAAUCCAAACACACCAGAGUCGGAAGGUGUCCCGCGUCAGUCAGUCCACGUGUCGAUGGAAACCUGAGGCCUGGCCAAGUCCAAGCAAGGUCAUCCCCUGACAGAAAGCUUCUGAAGAAGGCUGCAAAACAAUCACACUGGAACCAAACUGCAUGAAACCUUCCAGACCGUCAGAUCCUGGACAUUCAUCUUUGUACCCAGCUUAUUUCAGGCUGACCAGGCUGGGAACCCGAACUACGGUCACUGUGUGGAAUCUACCUUCUCGUCAGAAACUUGGCUAUUUAUAUGUGUUGAACACCAGCUAACCCUCUGGCAUGGGAGAGAGGAUAAGUUAUUCUGCUGUGGUGCUCCUGAAGGACAACAGCUAAGCCAUAAUCAUUGAAGGCAAUGCUCAGCAAUGUGCUCUGAUGAACUGAAUCCUCACAACUAACUCCACGUGACUUGAAGUGCCUGGUCAUUAAGCCUGUUGAAGCGGUUUCGCCAAGGUGUUAAGGAAGAGAUUAUUUCCCUUAUUUCCCUGCCCCCAUGGUCUUUCUCACUGCACCAUUGUGUACGAAAGGAACUGACUGCCUUUCUUUUUUGCUUUUGUAAUUUGCCAGAAGGCACAUGCCUUCAGGAAGAGAGAGAGAAAGUGAGAAUGCACCCUCCAUGGGGAAUGGUCACACAAUC